Molecule: long non-coding RNA, 218 nt
Organism: Parambassis ranga (Indian glassy fish)
Lineage: Eukaryota; Metazoa; Chordata; Actinopteri; Ambassidae
Source: Ensembl
CAGAAACAUCAGAUUUGGAAACUCUCACUUCAAAGUGUUCCUCUGUGGACCCACAGACAUUUGAUGUGAUCGAUCAAUGAGAUUUUGGACAUGUUAAUCCUGAGCAGCAUUUGGACAGCAGCUCUUCAACCGUAAAGCAGCACUGUGAACGGCCGACAGAGAUUUGAAUCUAAGAACAGAGACCCAGAAGACACAGACCGCACAAAAAAGGAGGUGGA